AGGUAAAAGGCAGAGGGCCCCUCUGUGGCCAAGGAGCAGCGAGCAAGGGGCUAAGGGGAGGGGGGCCCAGUGCCAGCCGUUUAAAAAUGCCCCGUGGCGGUAAGGGGUGCCAGAGGCCCGGUCAAGUUAGUUGAGAAGCAGUGACGCCCCCAACCGUCCCCUAAAUGGGCUGCCCCCCGUGUCCGGGCCACAAGGAGCCACACCUGGACCAGACCCCAGGAGAGGCAAGGGCACUGGCCGGUGGGAGCCACUCUUGCAACGCUGACAUUGGACGAGCAAGCACCCCAGAGGGGGCCUCCUGAGGACCAGAGAGGAGGGCAGGCGGCAGAGGCCCUGAAAACAGAGCUCCUCCCCGGAGCUUCCCAAGAAGACAGAGGCUCCCCCGGGCUGGGCUUGGCGACAUUUCCUGAAGACAGUAGGGAGCAGUGAGGGGAAAUUGGCCCGUUUCUGGGAGCAACGCCGCAGACUGCCAACAGCCGGCACCAGGUAAGAAUCCGCCCGCUAUGAGUCUAAGGCCACCUGCUCAAGUGUCUCCUUGGACACAGGGGAAAGGGAGCCACAGAGGGGCAGCACAUGGGAGAAGCGACCACACCGGUUGGAACAGAACUCAGGUCUCCCAAAUGGCCCGCUGUCUCCUGACUGGGGACCAAGAGUAAGAAGGAGCCUCUGGUGGGGUAAAGUGGAAUAGGAGGGCUGUCGACCUCCUUCUCAUCUGAAGGAGACCAGGGGUCAGGGCCAGCACUGUCGGCCUGCUGGACAAGUAAGAAAGACUCAAGGGAAGAGUUCUUGGGCAAGAGGACACGCUUCCUGCAUCUCUGCCCCUCCUCCCAGCCCACCACCUCCUCCUCCAGGAAGUCCUCCCAGCUCUUCCCCUGGGGCGGGAACCUCUUUGUCCUCUAAGACCUUGGCAGUGCUUUCUUAUGCUCUCCCUGGUGCCACUUGGAUCUGUGCCCUAUUCACCUUGCCAGGGACAUCCUUCUUCCAUUUCAGCCUGACUGCACUCCCCCAGGGCAAGGACAUCAGUCCCACCUCCCCUCGGCACAUAGAAGUCACCCUAGGCUUGCUGAAUGGUGAGGUGAAAUGGUGAGACCCUGUCUCAAACCCAAAGGAUUGCUAAAUUGGCCAGGGGAGGAGACAUUCGGCAUAGAGGUUAAAGAUGAGGGAGCCGGGGUUGGCUGUUCUGAGUUAGGAACCCAGCUCAGCUCCUAACUCCGUGGCCUCGGAAAAUUCCCUUCUCAUAGAGCCUUGGGGAUACGAGGGGAUUAGCACAAUUAAAACAGUCAACAAAUGACUGCUCUUAUUACAGUCGGCGUCACUGUGAUUUUCCUAGCUACAAGGAACAGAAGUACGCAGCCUAUAGCCAGAGGAGAAGCAAACAGCUUCCCCCAAAGGCUGCUCAUGGAGCCCUGUCCCUGCAUCACUUUCUCCCACGGGAACAUGGGCCUGCCUCCCAUCUACUGCCUGUUUCCAUAAGCAGGAGGGGGGCUCUCUCGGCCACAAUAUUCGGAGCCUAAUGGGACGUGCGGAAACAGCCCUCGACUCCCCUGGUUCGAGCCAGGCUGUGCCCACAGAACCAUCUCCUCCCCGUCCUGGUCCCCCGCGUGGAGGUCACAACAUACCCCUGCCGGCCUCACCAGCUGUCCUGAAGGUCCAGCGUCACGGGGCGCAGUUCCCCGAGCUGCAGUCACGCAGACGCCCCCUUUCGUAUUUUUGCCACAUCUGCAAACCGUCAUAAUAGUUUUACAUUUAACACGAGUCACUGGCAAUAGGCACGUACAAUUGCUACCGUUCAUGAGAAACUCUAACACUGCUCGUGACGAGGAGACAAAGGUAAGAAAAAGCAGAGCGAGCCCCAGGCGGUGUGAUUACCGUCCCCCUGGUACUGGCUUGCAAGGGCCUGGGCCUGAGGCCUGAGACCCGAGGGGAAGACGCAGGGACGCCAAAGGUGGGCAGCUGAAGGCUUCAGAAAGAGUUGUGCAGCAAGGGACGCGGGAGGCUGGCUUUAUCACCUUGGUUCCCGGGGCCCUGGAAAGUUCACUUUGUCGGGACAGCUCCCGGCCCCCAGCUUCUUACUGAAAGCUUCAGGCUGUCAGGCCCAGCACGUUCUCUCGCAGGGCUGGUGGGAGAGUGGCGUGGACAGGCUGUGGGCUGCCCAGGACCCCGAAGGUGGGUUGUUGGAAUCAUUCCCCAGCUAAAUGCAGUUUGGAAAGAGUUCCUACAGGAGAAUUCCAUAUUAGAGAAAGGCAUUUCUUUGGCUGGGAAUACCUCAGGAUGGGGCUGUCCCUCUCAGGAGGCCGUGGGGACUGAGCUGCUCCAAGUGGCAAACCAGAGACAGAGAGACUCUUUUGAUCCGGGCCAAAUUUCAGAUUUCUGAUAGAGGCACAGGAGAUACUUUUUUUUUCUUUUUUGUAAGGAAGUGUGUGGUUUUUUGCUCUCUCCUCAGGAGAGGAUACCCACCGCCUCCUCUCUUAAGCCUUCAGAUAUCUCUGAAAGUGUACGUCAUGCACCACAUGUCGCCACAUAUCGAGGCCACCACAGUAGACAUCCAGCAACGCAGGAAGGUCCUCUGGGGGUUCCCCGAGAACUUGGCGGGGCAGGAGGGACCGAGGGAGCUCUGCCUGCUCACUCAGAGGUUCCCACCCAAGCCCGCUCUCAACAGAAAAACAAUUUAUCUCCGUGGCCAUUCAUUCAUCCACCAAAUGGCAUUCCCUGGGGCCCAGUAUCACGUACAAAGACCGCAGCAAGGCCCAAGGACACCCCUAAACCCACAAAUGUGGGCACUCUCCCCAGGGAACUGGAUACUAGCCCAGUCAGGCCCAGGUGCCAUUUGCAGCCUGACCCCGGAAAGAAACAGAUUGAGGAAAACAAUUCAGCCAUUCAUCCAAUGCUUAAUGAGCGUCUACACUGGGGAACCUACCUUCAGUGGUGAGCCCAGCCAGCCGGGUCCCUUCCCUCACAGGUGGUCCACACAGCCCACAAGUGGAGGAGAAUUGCACACCACGUGUGACACAGGAUUAGAAAGUGGACACAGCAUGUGUGAGGACGUUGACCAGGGCGUCCUGAUGUCUGAGGCAGUGGAGGAGGGCUUCCCAGAAAAAGCAGCCUUUUGAGUAGGCAUGGAGCACUGGGAGAGGAGUCAGCAGGGGGCGUGAGGGGGAGCACCCCCUAAGAGUCCAGAGGUGGUGGGCACCGGAGAAGAGGAAGAGGUCCUCGUGAUCUUCGGUGAGGGUUUGGGAAUUUAGCCGGAAGGAGGGUGAGCGCUUUCAGGCUCGUAAGCGUGGAGGCGAUAGGAGCAUUCCGGAAGGAUGUCUGAGAAGGAUGGCUGGGGAGUCGGGAGGAGCCGGAGCAGGAAGUCCACACAAGUACCCUGAAGGUGCCGUCUGGCUGGAAUGAGCAGCGGGUAAAGGUGGGGAUGGGGCCACCGUAUCGGGUGAGUCCAGACUGCUCUGCAAAGACAGAAGCGGCCUGCCCAGAGCAGGGCUGGUGGGAGAUGCAAGGGGCUAACGGAGAAGAGGUUUCUCUUGGGGGUGAGGACGUGGUCUAAAAUUAAUUGCGACAGUGGUGGCACAACUUUGUGAACAUAUUAAAAACCAUUUCGUCGUACGUUUAAAUUGGGGGGCGGGGGCGUGUGGAUUACAUCUCGACAAAGCUGGUUUAAAAAAAAAAGAAAGAAAAAGAGGGGCGCCUGGGUGGCUCAGUCAGUUGAGGGUCCGACUUCGGCUCGGGUCAUGAUCUCGCGGUCCGUGAGUUCGAGCCCCGCGUCGGGCUCCGUGCCGACGGCUCGGGGCCUGGAGCCUGCUUUGGAUGCUGUCUCUCCCUCUCUCUCUCUCUCUCUCUCUCUCUCUCUGCCCCUCCGCCACUCAUGCUCUGUCUCUCAAAAGUAAAUAAAUGUUAAAAAAAUUUUUUUAAAAGAAAAGGGAGGGUGAGGGUGGGUCGCCCUCGCAGAGGGCUCCGACGGGACGGGGGCGGGAGGCUCAGUGGGGGCACUUAUGGCAGCGUCUGGCGGGGGAAGCCGCGGGCCCCCUCACGCCCCCUCUCCCGCCUAGGGUGGAGUGGCCGCCACGCGCCCCCGGCACCCAGCAGCGGCGCCCUGUCCCCCAGCCUGAGGUGCAGUGCUGCAUCUCUGGUCAGUUGGGAGUCUGAGAUGAAGCACUGUAGCUCGGGAAGGGAGAAGUUGUUCUGCAGCUGUCAGCCCGGAAGCCGUAAGUGGCCGCUGUGCUCGGGGCCACCAGGAAGGCUGGGAGUGUGUCCAGUCUCCAUGCUGGCAGCUGCUUGUGCUGAGGAAGUUCCAGGACCCCAGGCCUGCCUGGGCCACUACCUGCUUCAUGAUUCAGGGCGAGUCCUGACCCCUCCGGGCGCCCCCGUUUGUCCAGCUGGAAGUGAGAUGUUGGGGCAUUCGGCGGUGGCCGUUAUCCGGACAACCCCGCCUCUGCUUUCUGUCUCUGAGCCCAUGGCACACACUGUUCAUCAGUCAGGGCAUCGUCUGUUGAGGAGUUCAGAUGCGCCUUUCAAAAUCCUUCCCAACACUAAGUCCUGGAUAGCUACAGGCAAUAACGCAGAGCUGAAACCCAUUCAUCCUGUGUGGACUGGACAGACAAUUCCUAAAAACCCUUGCAGAAAGACCAAAGUCCCGAGCUUUGACUCAGACGCCUCAUCCUUUGAGUGCCUAACCUUGGCUCCAGGCAACGUCCGACCCGUCUCAGAGGCUUCAGGCAAGCAUGGAACAGCAGAGGAGACUCUCUGGGCUAAGCACAAUCUUAUUGAACCUCCCAAGAAGCUUGGAAGGUGGCCAGUGUUACCGACCCCUUUUUACAGAUGAGAAAACUGAGGCUCAGUUAAGCGGUUCCCCCAAGGCCACACAAUGAUCGUGUUAGUCAAGGUCGUAGCCUAAUCUGUCCGCUUUCAGGGUCGUGUUCUUACCCAGUGCAUGUGAUUUUGGAACCUGCAGGUGGGGAUGCAAGAGGAGGACAUGAUAAAUGAACCUGGUCUUCUCCUUACAUCCUGGGUCACUUUCAGCAAAGACAGACCUAGCCGGUCUCCACUAAUCCUAUGGACUGCCUUACUCCACCCCUCCUCCCAAACUGUAUCUGUCUCACGUUAUCCGGGAGGUCCUCUCCUGUCCCAUUUUACAGCUGAGGAAAGCUGAGGUUACGUGGCUUUGCUGGAGACGACCAGGGGAGGAAGUUGCUGGAGACUGAGAACCGGAUCUGCCCAGGGUUUAGACUCAAACCCUCCCUCUGGCUGGAGACUCGGGAAUACAUACAGCCCCCCGUCAGUCAUGGGUGGGAAGGAGGGGGACGGCUGGGAUGCCAGAUGGUUUCUGGUCAACAACACGGCCUUUGACUGCAGGGAAGGUACUUUCCAAGGGCACUCGAAGUUCCAGUCACUCCUUCUGGAGCAAUCAGCCAGUCCUGCAAUGCGUGGCAUCCACACUGGCUUCUGCAGAUGGGGCCGGAAGCCGAGGAAGACUCCCGCUGGUCCUUAGGGACGUGGCGGGGCCUUGGUGCUGAAGGCCCCUCUCUCACCUUGUCCUCACGGUCCAGUUUUCCCAGGAAUCCCUUAGAUGCUAAGAUGGGGAUUCCUGGAAAUACUGUUCUUGAGGUCAUGGUUUAGCAACUGGACUCACCUCCUUCCCACCCAGAGCUGUCCCCGUGGGACCUCAGCUCAAGCACAGGAUGAGGCUCCAGGAGAAGGAGGUGCGCUGGAGGUAAGAGGGCUUGCACGCGGUGUUCUUGACCUUUAAGCUGCUUUUUCUUUCCAUUUUGUCCGAUUCGUAACAUUCCUGUGAGCCUGGAUGUGGGAACUUCACCACCGCUGUACUCUUGGGAAAUCUGUCGCGGCACUCGGAUGAGGGGUGUUUGAACCAGGUCGCCAUAAAGUACAUGCUUCUCCCGGUCCUCACCCCUGCCCCUCACCCCACUUCCCAGGGUGCCCUGUGGCAGGGGCCACGAUAGGGCAUCUACCUAAUGGA
This is a long non-coding RNA of Neofelis nebulosa (Clouded leopard), 5971 nucleotides long. RefSeq lists it as uncharacterized. The transcript has 3 exons. NCBI's taxonomy places the organism in Eukaryota, Metazoa, Chordata, Mammalia, Carnivora, Felidae. The record is from RefSeq and is a predicted model, not a curated record.